RNAcentral lists this ribosomal RNA (408 nucleotides) under uncultured bacterium. Its description in RNAcentral is "partial 16S ribosomal RNA". It matches the Rfam family "Bacterial small subunit ribosomal RNA", at positions 29 to 526 of the family's 1533-position model. The record is from RNAcentral.
AGUGAACGCUGGCGGCGGGCCUAAUACAUGCAAGUCGAACGGAGUGGCGCACGGGUGAGUAAUGAAUAGCUAAUCUGACCUACACUAGAGGACAACAGGUGGAAACGACUGCUAAUACUCUAUAGUUUAGGAUGAGGCUAUAUUGUAUCAGCUAGUUGGUGAGGUAAUGGCGCACCAAGGCUAUGACGCAUAACUGGUCUGAGAGGAUGAUCAGUCACCCUGGAACUGAGACACGGUCCGGACUCCUACGGGAGGCAGCAGUACGGUAUAUUGCUCAAUGGGGGAAACCCUGAAGGACCUACGCCGCGUGGAGGAUGACACUUUUCGGAGCGUAAACUCCUUUUGUUAUGGAAGCGGUACCUAACGAAUAAGCACCGGCUAACUCCGUGCCAGCAGCCGCGGUAAUUC